UGCUGACUCUGAGUCCUGAGCCC
Molecule: microRNA, 23 nt
Filed under: Oreochromis niloticus (Nile tilapia)
Lineage: Eukaryota; Metazoa; Chordata; Actinopteri; Cichliformes; Cichlidae
Description: oni-miR-10773
Source: miRBase by way of RNAcentral